UUCGGGUCUAGCGGCGGACGGGUUAGUAACGCGUGGGAACGUACCCUUCACUACGGAAUAGUCCCGGGAAACUGGGUUUAAUACCGUAUACGCCCUUCGGGGGAAAGAAUUUCGGUGAUGGAUCGGCCCGCGUUAGAUUAGAUAGUUGGUGGGGUAAUGGCCUACCAAGUCUACGAUCUAUAGCUGGUUUGAGAGGAUGAUCAGCAACACUGGGACUGAGACACGGCCCAGACUCCUGCGGGAGGCAGCAGUGGGGAAUCUUAGACAAUGGGCGAAAGCCUGAUCUAGCCAUGCCGCGUGAGUGAUGAAGGCCCUAGGGUCGUAAAGCUCUUUCGCCAGGGAUGAUAAUGACAGUACCUGGUAAAGAAACCCCGGCUAACUCCGUGCCAGCAGCCGCGGUAAUACGGAGGGGGUUAGCGUUGUUCGGAAUUACUGGGCGUAAAGCGCGCGUAGGCGGAUUGGAAAGUUGGGGGUGAAAUCCCGGGGCUCAACCCCGGAACUGCCUCCAAAACUAUCAGUCUAGAGUUCGAGAGAGGUGAGUGGAACUCCGAGUGUAGAGGUGAAAUUCGUAGAUAUUCGGAAGAACACCAGUGGCGAAGGCGGCUCACUGGCUCGAUACUGACGCUGAGGUGCGAAAGUGUGGGGAGCAAACACGAUUAGAUACCCUGGUAGUCCACACCGUAAACGAUGAAUGCCAGUCGUCAGGGGGCUUGCCCU
This 717-nucleotide ribosomal RNA is filed under the name uncultured organism. Its description in RNAcentral is "bacterial SSU rRNA". It matches the Rfam family "Bacterial small subunit ribosomal RNA", at positions 85 to 838 of the family's 1533-position model. The record is from RNAcentral.